UGGGCUGCUCAAACCAGACACUCUACCCUGUGCAAUGAGCCUAGGCAUCGCACAGAGUUGCCUAUUAUACAGGCUUCUCUGGGAGGUACGUUGUCCUGCAUAAGGGUUGCCUGCCCUAGUCUCCCUUUCCCAGAAAAACGGCAGAGGACAGGUCGAGAGUGCUUCGGGUCAAGCUAACAGCCUAGUUGCGACUCCCGUACACAGUCUUAAUGUUUGAUUUUGGGAAGGUUCAACCUCUGCCUCUAUCCCUCAACAUAUGGGUGACCUAUUUGCUUGUAAAAAUAUAAAGCCUUAUCAUUAAUUAAUAAAAAAAGGGGGAUCUGUAGGGAGCCGUCCCUGCAUUCUCCAUUACAAGAUGGCGCCUGCAUCCGGCAGGCACCGAAUGUAAACAAGAUUAUUGCGCAGGCGCUGGGUAAAUUUCCAUUCCUUGAUCUCUGCCUAUUCCGUGGCGUCAUAUGGCCGGAUGAGCUACAGCCAAUCAUAGGGUGACACGUCCCAGGCGGCGGCUGCCAGCCUUUAUUAGGGGACGGGAUUCUUGGCUCAGUGUCUCCGCUCUGGUAAGCUUAUGCUCUCCUCUCAAGAUGCAUUAAAGCUUGUCUGCAGAAG
Molecule: long non-coding RNA, 606 nt
Filed under: Cricetulus griseus (Chinese hamster)
Lineage: Eukaryota; Metazoa; Chordata; Mammalia; Rodentia; Cricetidae
Description: lncRNA (ENSCGRG00015033993.1)
Source: RNAcentral